Molecule: ribosomal RNA, 474 nt
Filed under: uncultured bacterium
Lineage: Bacteria
Description: partial 16S ribosomal RNA
Rfam family: Bacterial small subunit ribosomal RNA
Source: RNAcentral
GAUGAACGCUAGCGGCAGGCCUAACACAUGCAAGUCGAGGGAGGAGCCUUCGGGCUUCGACCGGCGUACGGGUGCGUAACGCGUAUACAAUCUGCCUUUCACAUAGGGAUAGCCCGAAGAAAUUUGGAUUAAUACCUAAUGGUAUAUAGAUGUGGCAUCACCUUUAUAUUAAAGCUGAGGCGGUGAAAGAUGAGUAUGCGUUCUAUUAGCUAGUUGGAGAGGUAACGGCUCCCCAAGGCGACGAUAGAUAGGGGUUCUGAGAGGGAUAUCCCCCACACUGGUACUGAGAUACGGACCAGACUCCUACGGGAGGCAGCAGUGAGGAAUAUUGGACAAUGGUCGGAAGACUGAUCCAGCCAUGCCGCGUGCAGGAAGACGGCCCUAUGGGUUGUAAACUGCUUUUGCAGGGGAAGAAUAAGGACUACGCGUAGUUUGAUGACGGUACUCUGCGAAUAAGCAUCGGCUAACUCCGUG